Molecule: ribosomal RNA, 447 nt
Filed under: uncultured bacterium
Lineage: Bacteria
Description: partial 16S ribosomal RNA
Rfam family: Bacterial small subunit ribosomal RNA
Source: RNAcentral
AACGAACGCUGGCGGCAGGCUUAACACAUGCAAGUCGAGCGCCCCGCAAGGGGAGCGGCAGACGGGUGAGUAACGCGUGGGAAUCUACCGAGCCCUAAGGAAUAGCUCCGGGAAACUGGAAUUAAUACCUUAUACGCCCUUUUGGGGAAAGAUUUAUCGGGGUUUGAUGAGCCCGCGUUGGAUUAGGUAGUUGGUGGGGUAAAGGCCGACCAAGGCGACGAUCCAUAGCUGGUCUGAGAGGAUGAUCAGCCACAUUGGGACUGAGACACGGCCCAAACUCCUACGUGAGGCAGCAGUGGGGAAUAUUGGACAAUGGGCGCAAGCCUGAUCCAGCCAUGCCGCGUGAGUGAUGAAGGCCCUAGGGUUGUAAAGCUCUUUCACCGGUGAAGAUAAUGACGGUAACCGGAGAAGAAGCCCCGGCUAACUUCGUGCCAGCAGCCGCCGUAA